This 1746-nucleotide ribosomal RNA is filed under the name Vibrio cholerae. RNAcentral describes it as "partial 23S ribosomal RNA". It matches the Rfam family "Bacterial large subunit ribosomal RNA", at positions 1213 to 2925 of the family's 2925-position model. RNAcentral also lists the same sequence under 1 other name. The record is from RNAcentral. Lineage: Bacteria; Pseudomonadati; Pseudomonadota; Gammaproteobacteria; Vibrionales; Vibrionaceae.
UCUUUUAGAUAUUGGGUAGGGGAGCGUUCUGUAAGCCGUUGAAGGUGAAUCGUAAGGUUUGCUGGAGGUAUCAGAAGUGCGAAUGCUGACAUGAGUAACGACAAAGGGGGUGAAAAACCUCCUCGCCGGAAGACCAAGGGUUCCUGUCCAACGUUAAUCGGGGCAGGGUGAGUCGACCCCUAAGGUGAGGCCGAAAGGCGUAAUCGAUGGGAAACGGGUUAAUAUUCCCGUACUUCUGACUAUUGCGAUGGGGGGACGGAGAAGGCUAGGUGGGCCAGGCGACGGUUGUCCUGGUUCAAGUGCGUAGGCUUGAGAGUUAGGUAAAUCCGGCUCUCUCUAAGGCUGAGACACGACGUCGAGCUACUACGGUAGUGAAGUCAUUGAUGCCAUGCUUCCAGGAAAAGCCUCUAAGCUUCAGAUAGUCAGGAAUCGUACCCCAAACCGACACAGGUGGUCGGGUAGAGAAUACCAAGGCGCUUGAGAGAACUCGGGUGAAGGAACUAGGCAAAAUGGUACCGUAACUUCGGGAGAAGGUACGCUCUUGAUGGUGAAGUCCCUCGCGGAUGGAGCUGACGAGAGUCGCAGAUACCAGGUGGCUGCAACUGUUUAUUAAAAACACAGCACUGUGCAAAAUCGCAAGAUGACGUAUACGGUGUGACGCCUGCCCGGUGCCGGAAGGUUAAUUGAUGGGGUUAGCGCAAGCGAAGCUCUUGAUCGAAGCCCCGGUAAACGGCGGCCGUAACUAUAACGGUCCUAAGGUAGCGAAAUUCCUUGUCGGGUAAGUUCCGACCUGCACGAAUGGCGUAAUGAUGGCCACGCUGUCUCCACCCGAGACUCAGUGAAAUUGAAAUCGCUGUGAAGAUGCAGUGUACCCGCGGCUAGACGGAAAGACCCCGUGAACCUUUACUACAGCUUGGCACUGAACAUUGAACCUACAUGUGUAGGAUAGGUGGGAGGCUAUGAAGACGUGACGCCAGUUGCGUUGGAGCCGUCCUUGAAAUACCACCCUUGUAUGUUUGAUGUUCUAACUUAGACCCAUUAUCUGGGUUGAGGACAGUGCCUGGUGGGUAGUUUGACUGGGGCGGUCUCCUCCCAAAGAGUAACGGAGGAGCACGAAGGUGGGCUAAUCACGGUUGGACAUCGUGAGGUUAGUGCAAUGGCAUAAGCCCGCUUAACUGCGAGAAUGACGGUUCGAGCAGGUGCGAAAGCAGGUCAUAGUGAUCCGGUGGUUCUGUAUGGAAGGGCCAUCGCUCAACGGAUAAAAGGUACUCCGGGGAUAACAGGCUGAUACCGCCCAAGAGUUCAUAUCGACGGCGGUGUUUGGCACCUCGAUGUCGGCUCAUCACAUCCUGGGGCUGAAGUCGGUCCCAAGGGUAUGGCUGUUCGCCAUUUAAAGUGGUACGCGAGCUGGGUUUAGAACGUCGUGAGACAGUUCGGUCCCUAUCUGCCGUGGGCGUUGGAAGAUUGAAGGGGGCUGCUCCUAGUACGAGAGGACCGGAGUGGACGAACCUCUGGUGUUCGGGUUGUGUCGCCAGACGCAUUGCCCGGUAGCUAAGUUCGGAAUUGAUAAGCGCUGAAAGCAUCUAAGCGCGAAGCGAGCCCUGAGAUGAGUCUUCCCUGACAGUUUAACUGUCCUAAAGGGUUGUUCGAGACUAGAACGUUGAUAGGCAGGGUGUGUAAGCGUUGUGAGGCGUUGAGCUAACCUGUACUAAUUGCCCGUGAGGCUUAACCAUACAACACCCAAGG